RNAcentral lists this ribosomal RNA (772 nucleotides) under uncultured Paraglomeraceae. Its description in RNAcentral is "SSU rRNA". It matches the Rfam family "Eukaryotic small subunit ribosomal RNA", at positions 338 to 1114 of the family's 1831-position model. Lineage: Eukaryota; Fungi; Glomeromycota; Glomeromycetes; Paraglomerales. The record is from RNAcentral.
GGCCUACCAUGGUGGUAACGGGUAACGGGGAAUUAGGGUUCGAUUCCGGAGAGGGAGCCUGAGAAACGGCUACCACAUCCAAGGAAGGCAGCAGGCGCGCAAAUUACCCAAUCCCGACACGGGGAGGUAGUGACAAUAAAUAACAACACAGGGCUCUUUCGGGUCUUGUUAUUGGAAUGAGUACGAUUUAAAUCUCCUAACGAGGAACAAUUGGAGGGCAAGUCUGGUGCCAGCAGCCGCGGUAAUUCCAGCUCCAAUAGCGUAUAUUAAAGUUGUUGCAGUUAAAAAGCUCGUAGUUGAAUUUCAGGCCUGGCUGGGCGGUCCGCCCUUCGGGUGAGUACUGCCUGUGGUCGGGUCCUACCUUCUGGCGAAGCGUCAUGGCCUUAACCGGCCGUGGCGGGGAACCAGGACUUUUACUGUGAAAAAAUUAGAGUGUUCAAAGCAGGCAAUCGCUUGGAUACAUUAGCAUGGAAUAAUGGAAUAGGACAAUGGUUCUAUUUGUUGGUUUCUAGGACCGUUGUAAUGAUUAAUAGGGAUAGUUGGGGGCAUUAGUAUUCAAUUGUCAGAGGUGAAAUUCUUGGAUUUAUUGAAGACUAACUACUGCGAAAGCAUUUGCCAAGGAUGUUUUCAUUAAUCAAGAACGAAAGUUAGGGGAUCGAAGACGAUCAGAUACCGUCGUAGUCUUAACCAUAAACUAUGCCGACUAGGAAUCGGGCGAUGUUGAAAAAAUGACGCGCUCGGCACCUCAUGGGAAACCAAAGUGUUUGGGUUC